RNAcentral lists this ribosomal RNA (439 nucleotides) under Alternaria sp. JW-2018a. Its description in RNAcentral is "SSU rRNA". It matches the Rfam family "Eukaryotic small subunit ribosomal RNA", at positions 255 to 693 of the family's 1831-position model. Lineage: Eukaryota; Fungi; Ascomycota; Dothideomycetes; Pleosporales; Pleosporaceae. The record is from RNAcentral.
GAUAACUUUACGGAUCGCAUAGCCUUGCGCUGGCGACGGUUCAUUCAAAUUUCUGCCCUAUCAACUUUCGAUGGUAAGGUAUUGGCUUACCAUGGUUUCAACGGGUAACGGGGAAUUAGGGUUCGAUUCCGGAGAGGGAGCCUGAGAAACGGCUACCACAUCCAAGGAAGGCAGCAGGCGCGCAAAUUACCCAAUCCCGACACGGGGAGGUAGUGACAAUAAAUACUGAUACAGGGCUCUUUUGGGUCUUGUAAUUGGAAUGAGUACAAUUUAAACCUCUUAACGAGGAACAAUUGGAGGGCAAGUCUGGUGCCAGCAGCCGCGGUAAUUCCAGCUCCAAUAGCGUAUAUUAAAGUUGUUGCAGUUAAAAAGCUCGUAGUUGAAACUUGGGCCUGGCUGGCGGGUCCGCCUCACCGCGUGCACUCGUCCGGCCGGGCCU